GCUUGAUCCCUGGCUCAGAACGAACGCUGGCGGCAGGCUUAACACAUGCAAGUCGAGCGCCCCGCAAGGGGAGCGGCAGACGGGUGAGUAACGCGUGGGAAUCUACCCAUCUCUACGGAAUAACUCAGGGAAACUUGUGCUAAUACCGUAUACGCCCUUCGGGGGAAAGAUUUAUCGGAGAUGGAUGAGCCCGCGUUGGAUUAGCUAGUUGGUGGGGUAAAGGCCUACCAAGGCGACGAUCCAUAGCUGGUCUGAGAGGAUGAUCAGCCACAUUGGGACUGAGACACGGCCCAAACUCCUACGGGAGGCAGCAGUGGGGAAUAUUGGACAAUGGGCGCAAGCCUGAUCCAGCCAUGCCGCGUGUGUGAUGAAGGCCUUAGGGUUGUAAAGCACUUUCACCGGAGAAGAUAAUGACGGUAUCCGGAGAAGAAGCC
Molecule: ribosomal RNA, 434 nt
Filed under: Rhizobium sp. CL1.19
Lineage: Bacteria; Pseudomonadati; Pseudomonadota; Alphaproteobacteria; Hyphomicrobiales; Rhizobiaceae
Description: bacterial SSU rRNA
Rfam family: Bacterial small subunit ribosomal RNA
Source: RNAcentral